AGGCCUACAGAGAGACAGGAAGGGUCUGAUCUGCAGCCUCCGUGGCAGCUGUUGAUCAGCCAUUGCCUCUCUCUUGCUCUCCA
Molecule: microRNA precursor, 83 nt
Organism: Myotis lucifugus (little brown bat)
Lineage: Eukaryota; Metazoa; Chordata; Mammalia; Chiroptera; Vespertilionidae
Rfam family: mir-574 microRNA precursor family
Source: Rfam